CAGUCGCCACGGGAAUACGGAGGGGGCCAGCGUUGUUCGGAAUUACUGGGCGUAAAGCGCACGUAGGCGGCUUGGUAAGUUAGAGGUGAAAGCCUGGUGCUCAACACCAGAACUGCCUUUAAGACUGCAUCGCUUGAACGUCGGAGAGGUGAGUGGAAUUCCGAGUGUAGAGGUGAAAUUCGUAGAUAUUCGGAAGGAACACCUGUGGCGAAAGCGGCUCACUGGACCAUUUCUGACGCUGAUGCACGAAAGCUAGGGGAGCAAACAGGAUUAGAUACCCGCGUAGUCCCUGUCUCUUAUA
RNAcentral lists this ribosomal RNA (301 nucleotides) under uncultured bacterium. RNAcentral describes it as "partial 16S ribosomal RNA". It matches the Rfam family "Bacterial small subunit ribosomal RNA", at positions 509 to 808 of the family's 1533-position model. The record is from RNAcentral.